This 417-nucleotide ribosomal RNA is filed under the name Providencia huashanensis. RNAcentral describes it as "bacterial SSU rRNA". It matches the Rfam family "Bacterial small subunit ribosomal RNA", at positions 1 to 416 of the family's 1533-position model. The record is from RNAcentral. Lineage: Bacteria; Pseudomonadati; Pseudomonadota; Gammaproteobacteria; Enterobacterales; Morganellaceae.
UAAUUGAAGAGUUUGAUCAUGGCUCAGAUUGAACGCUGGCGGCAGGCCUAACACAUGCAAGUCGAGCGGUAACAGGGGAAGCUUGCUUCUCGCUGACGAGCGGCGGACGGGUGAGUAAUGUAUGGGGAUCUGCCCGAUAGAGGGGGAUAACCACUGGAAACGGUGGCUAAUACCGCAUAAUCUCUUAGGAGCAAAGCAGGGGAACUUCGGUCCUUGCGCUAUCGGAUGAACCCAUAUGGGAUUAGCUAGUAGGUGGGGUAAUGGCUCACCUAGGCGACGAUCCCUAGCUGGUCUGAGAGGAUGAUCAGCCACACUGGGACUGAGACACGGCCCAGACUCCUACGGGAGGCAGCAGUGGGGAAUAUUGCACAAUGGGCGCAAGCCUGAUGCAGCCAUGCCGCGUGUAUGAAGAAGGCC